AAACCUCAACCUCCUUGGUUUCUUCUGGAGACCAAAGAAGGCUUGGACUUUGGAGGCCUUUGCUGGCACCUCUCUUUUGAAGGCCAGCUCCUCUUAAACAAAUUAGCAGGGUCCUCUUUGCUGAUCCUUGACAUGUGAUAAGAUGUUUCCAUGUCUUGGUUUCUGGCUCUGUCACCUUUGGGACCCGCUUCUAACCGUCUUGACCUUGCAUCGAGACAACGUUCGAGCAUGUCUCCCUUUCUCGGGAAGCUCCCUCGACCCCACGAACC
This 269-nucleotide unclassified non-coding RNA is filed under the name Lactarius lacunarum. RNAcentral's name for it is "partial internal transcribed spacer 2". Lineage: Eukaryota; Fungi; Basidiomycota; Agaricomycetes; Russulales; Russulaceae. The record is from RNAcentral.